Molecule: long non-coding RNA, 1469 nt
Filed under: Citrus x clementina
Lineage: Eukaryota; Viridiplantae; Streptophyta; Magnoliopsida; Sapindales; Rutaceae
Description: Citrus clementina (C. clementina) long non-coding RNA (CCLE_LNC004146)
Source: RNAcentral
AAUAGAAAUUAUAAAAUUUGGGUGAAGGUAAAAUGGAAAGUUUAAGAAAUGGAAACUUGAUUCCCUACCCCCUGAUGUGAAGAUCAUUAAUCCUAAAAAUUUAUAGGACUCGUGUGUUUCAUUUUCAAUCUCAUUUUUAUUUUAGUAGGUAAACACCAUCAAUUAUUUUUAUUUUAAAUUCCGAUUCCUUAAUUUAGGAAGUAAAUACACCAUUAUGAGUAUUUGGAACUUGUGAAAUAGGUAACGGAAAGGCCCAUAUAAGCCAAUAGCUAAUUUAGGCACAUGUCUUAUGAAAUACAAGUGUGCAACCUAAGAGAGAGGGGUGAAUUGAGAUUCUAAAAAUUAUUUGAUUCUAAAACAAAUUAUCAUGCAAAUCUAAAGAGAAUUUAAAGCAAUAAUAAUUAAAUCAAUUACAAUAUAAAAAGAUAAGGGAAGAGAAAUUCAAACACGAAGAUUUUUACGUGGUUUGGCAAACCUCGCCUACGUCCAUGCCUCCAAGUUUUCUGGGCUUGAGAAUUUCACUAAGCAAGCCUUCAAGGUUUCAAAUGCUUACACUUGACUUCCAAGGUAUCAACGAACCUUUACAACAAGAGAUUAUCCCAAAUCUCUUAACCCAAGUGUAUCCCCACACUUACAAUCGUUCAAAAUAAAAAAUUAUAAAUUAUUUUUCUCUCACACAAUAUUUAAGAUUGCAAAUUAAUGCCCAAUGUGUGAAUAGAUGAAGCAAUGAUGUGUUUAAAGCUCUAUGAAGAUUGUAUUCUCGAAUAUAAGCUCAAUAGUUGUGUUGUGAUCAACCUUAUUUGAAUUUGAAUGAGCUUAUUUAUAGUUGGAGCUGAAACACUAGCUGUUAUAGAUUGUCUGCCCAAAAAUGGCUUGCCGUUAACCAUUAUCAGUUAACCGUUUAGACUGGUCAAAGUUAUCGUUGGGUCAAAUUUCAAAUAAACGGUUUGCCAUUUAGGCUUACCCUUUUGCCGUUAAAUUCCAGAGACCUGCAAGAUAAACUUCAGUUAUCUGUUUACAUUAAACGGUUAAAGAUUUGCACGAAAUACCCUUUCUGGAAUUUAUCGGUUAGCCGUUUGUAAUUAAUGGUUCGCCGUUUGUUUCCAGUAACCUGCAGAACAAAAUUAGCCUUAUCCGUUUCAGUUAAACUUUUGCCGUUUGUUUCCAGUAACAAGAUGAGUACAAUCUUCCAUUCUGGAUUUUAUUGGUUAACCGUUUCAAUAAACGGUUUACGGUUUAAUUCCACUAGCCUUCCCAGCAUUUUGUGUUUUCUGUUUUUCUUAACCAGUUAGAGCUUAAGCAAUUCAUUACUCUCUGAAUCUAAUCGGUUAACCGUUUAAAGAAAAAUGAUUCACCGUUUAUUUCCAUAAUCACAGUUUUAGGUAGAUAUUGCAGAGAAUCAUUUUUCAAUUUCAAGUUUAACAAUUCCAACUUUUAUGAAUAUAAUUGAAAUGAUUAUAAGGCUUUCG